This is a long non-coding RNA of Cyprinus carpio carpio, 1584 nucleotides long. The record is from Ensembl. NCBI's taxonomy places the organism in Eukaryota, Metazoa, Chordata, Actinopteri, Cypriniformes, Cyprinidae.
GAAUUCCAUGUCAAUGAAAAGGGCUGUUGUUCUUCAGGACCUUCCGCAUUACCUCAGUGAGGAUCCAUCAGAUUUGAACUCAGCGGAGGAAACAGACAUUGAAGACCGUGUGACGGCAGGAAUGGAUGUGGACAUUUUCCUAAUGCCUGAUGGAGAUGAUGCCUUUUCAACUACUAUGUGGUGCUGGAGGAACAGAUUGUCCUGAGAGAUGUCAAAGACCUUCCUCAUGCUGUAGCUGUACUAGUCGGGCUGAUUUUUGCACAUAAUAUUGAUUACCCCAAAAAACUAUGCUACACAUUUGAAGUCAUUCAAAAGAUUUACCUUGGAGGUGAUCAAUGGUUCUGUGAAGGUGCAUGGGCUGAAAAUAGACUCUUUCACAAAACUAUGCAGUGUUCUAACUGAAAAGUGUAUGAUGUGCACCUUCUUGUUUUUGAAUUUCUGGUUAUUUUUUUUUAUUUUUUUAAUCAUGAAUAUUCAAUUAUUUUUUUCUUGAUCUGGUGCUUUAUGCAGUACCAAUGUAUGCAAAAUAUCUUGUUUGAUUUUAGACACUUACACUGUUUAUACAGUAUUAUUGUUAAUGCAGUACAUUACUGUAUGUUUGUACAGUAUUGUUGUUCUUGCAGUACAUUACUUUGUAUUUUACGCAUUAUUAUUGUUUAUGCAGUACAUCAAUCGUUGUUAAUGAAUUGAACUUGUUUUAGAGGAAAAAUAAAAUUCAAAUGAUUAAACUUAAAUUAUGUUUAUUGCACUUGUAUUAUAAAGUCCUGUCAACUUUAUCCUCAGUUAAGACAACAUCACAAUUUAAGUUAACAUAACUUAAAAUUUUAAGGCAGCAUGAACACUUUUUUAAGUUGAAACAACAUUUUUUUUUUUUUUUUUUACAGUGUAUGAGGACAGCUGGUGCCUUUUUGAACCUCUGCUUCAGUAAUUUAGAUGUUUUGGUUCAGCAAAAGUUCUGCUACUGUAUAUACAGUAAAACAUGAUAUAAAUGAAUGCUUGGAUAAAUAAUAUGUGAAUGUGUUAUUUAUAAUUAUUUUGAAUUCAUUUCACAGGUACAUUAGAGUGUAGCAGUUCCUUUAAGAAUAAACUUCCACUGAGUUUGUAGCUUGUGUUGCCCAGGCUCAGCCUGUGUCCAGCUGGAACUAAUCUGGCAUCUGUGAAUCAUCUUUAUUGACGGUCUGUGCCCACCUGGCCUUGUGUAAAACGCUAGAAAACCACAGCUCAUGUUAAAGAACAAGUGAUUUAGACUCAGAGUUUAGUUAGUGAAACUUGCUGAACAUUUAGCUUCAUAUUUUUGCUUUGCUUUUUGAUGUUUUAAAAUACAAAAGAGUUAGUGGAUUUCGGAGUACACUGAAAGCAGUUCUUAGCUGGAAGAAUACUGGAAAAUUUAAUGGUGCAAGCCAACACUGCUUGGAAAACAAGCUAGGUGUUUGCAAAUGUUUAGCAAUGAUCUUUUAGCAUUUACUUUUUAUUUUCAUUGGAUCUUGCCGACCAUAAUAAUUCAGAACCAAAAACGUAGUUCCACCUGGCUCCUUUUCAGCGUAGUAGCAGAAUGGUCAAACAACUGCUACCAUUAAUAGUUCU